GACGGGGACCCGCACAAGCGGUGGAUGAUGUGGAUUAAUUCGAUGCAACGCGAAGAACCUUACUACCCUUGACAUGUCCGGAACUUGCCAGAGAUGGCUUGGUGCCCGAAAGGGAAUCGGAACACAGGUGCUGCAUGGCUGUCGUCAGCUCGUGUCGUGAGAUGUUGGGUUAAGUCCCGCAACGAGCGCAACCCUUAUCAUUAGUUGCUACGCAAGGGCACUCUAAUGAGACUGCCGGUGACAAACCGGAGGAAGGUGGGGAUGACGUCAAGUCCUCAUGGCCUUUAUGACCAGGGCUACACACGUACUACAAUGGCCGGUACAAAGGGCAGCAAAGCCGCGAGGUGGAGCCAAUCCCAGAAAGCCGGUCUCAGUUCGGAUUGGAGUCUGCAACUCGACUCCAUGAAGGCGGAAUCGCUAGUAACCGCGAAUCAGCAGGUCGCGGUGAAUACGUUCCCGGGCCUU
This 465-nucleotide ribosomal RNA is filed under the name uncultured Tepidiphilus sp. RNAcentral's name for it is "bacterial SSU rRNA". It matches the Rfam family "Bacterial small subunit ribosomal RNA", at positions 912 to 1382 of the family's 1533-position model. Lineage: Bacteria; Pseudomonadati; Pseudomonadota; Hydrogenophilia; Hydrogenophilales; Hydrogenophilaceae. The record is from RNAcentral.